RNAcentral lists this ribosomal RNA (789 nucleotides) under Metarhizium sp. RMK-2011b. Its description in RNAcentral is "SSU rRNA". It matches the Rfam family "Bacterial small subunit ribosomal RNA", at positions 681 to 1533 of the family's 1533-position model. The record is from RNAcentral. Lineage: Eukaryota; Fungi; Ascomycota; Sordariomycetes; Hypocreales; Clavicipitaceae.
AUGAAAUUCUAUUAUACCAAAGGGACUUGGUAAAGGCGAAGGCAGCCCUCUAUGUAAAAACUGACGUUGAAGGACGAAGGCACAGAGCACAAACAGGAUUAGAUACCCAAGUAGUCUUUGCAGUAAAUGAUGAAUGUCAUAGGUUAGAUUAAGCUUUAAUUAAUUAGUUUAUCAGUAAUGAACUAACUAUUAAACAAUAUUUAGUCUAUAAAUGAAAGUGUAAGCAUUCCACCUCAAGAGUAAUGUGGCAACGCAGGAACUGAAAUCACUAGACCGUUUCUGACACCAGUAGUGAAGUAUGUUGUUUAAUUCGAUGAUCCACGAAAAACCUUACCACAAUUUGAAUAUUUUACAGGAGUUGCACGGCUGUUUUCAGUUAAUGUUGUGAAACUGUGGUUUCCAUGAAAUUAACGCAAUCCCUGGCUUUAUUUUUUUUUUAUUACGAUAAAGCAUUUGAUCCAGGAUUUGGAAAGAAAAAGGGGACAAAGACAAGUCAUCAUGGCCUUGAUAUUGUGGGCUAUAGACGUGCCACAUAUUCCUACACAAAGAGAUGCAAAAAUGUGAAUUUAAGCUAAUCUCUAAAAAUAGGAUAUAAAUUUUAAGGAUUAUAGUCUGAAACUCGACUAUAUGAAUAAGUAAUUACUAGUAAUCGUGAAUCACCAUGUCACGGUGAAUUUACCUUGGAUUGGUACUAACCACUCGUCACAUGCUGAAAAGAGCAUGCGCAAUAAGUUUGCUUUCUUGAUGAGCAGUAAAAAGAAUAAGCAGGUUCUAUAUUCUAUUAUUAAG